Molecule: ribosomal RNA, 245 nt
Filed under: uncultured bacterium
Lineage: Bacteria
Description: partial 16S ribosomal RNA
Rfam family: Bacterial small subunit ribosomal RNA
Source: RNAcentral
GUGCAAGCGUUGUCCGGAAUUAUUGGGCGUAAAGAGCUCGUAGGCGGUCUGUCGCGUCGGCUGUGAAAUCCCGAGGCUCAACCUCGGGUCUGCAGUCGAUACGGGCAAACUAGAGUAUUGCAGGGGAGACUGGAAUUCCUGGUGUAGCGGUGAAAUGCGCAGAUAUCAGGAGGAACACCGGUGGCGAAGGCGGGUCUCUGGGCAAUAACUGACGCUGAGGAGCGAAAGCGUGGGGAGCGAACAGG